This 103-nucleotide microRNA precursor is filed under the name Canis lupus familiaris (dog). RNAcentral's name for it is "miRNA (ENSCAFG00845027476.1)". Lineage: Eukaryota; Metazoa; Chordata; Mammalia; Carnivora; Canidae. The record is from RNAcentral.
GUGUCCUUGUUGUCCUGUGCCCUCCUGGCUUCUGCCUGUCCCGGUGGAGCGCCGGAUCUUGGGCUGUUUCCCCGGGGCCCUGUGCUCCCGGGCCUGCACUGUU